AGGACACUCUAUACGGAGUUACAAAGGACGACAUUAGACGAAUCAUCUGGAAAGAUGAAUCAAAGAAGGUAAUAAUCCUGUAGUCGAAAAUGUUGUCUCUCUUGAGUGGAUCCUGAGUACGACGGAGCACGUGAAAUUCCGUCGGAAUCUGGGAGGACCAUCUCCUAAGGCUAAAUACUCUCUAGUGACCGAUAGUGAACCAGUACCGUGAGGGAAAGGUGAAAAGCACCCCGGAAGGGGAGUGAAAUAGAACCUGAAACCGUGUGCUUACAAGUAGUCAGAGCCCGUUAAUGGGUGAUGGCGUGCCUUUUGUAGAAUGAACCGGCGAGUUACGAUUUGAUGCAAGGUUAAGCAGUAAAUGUGGAGCCGUAGCGAAAGCGAGUCUGAAUAGGGCGUUUAGUAUUUGGUCGUAGACCCGAAACCAGGUGAUCUACCCUUGGUCAGGUUGAAGUUCAGGUAACACUGAAUGGAGGACCGAACCGACUUACGUUGAAAAGUGAGCGGAUGAACUGAGGGUAGCGGAGAAAUUCCAAUCGAACCUGGAGAUAGCUGGUUCUCUCCGAAAUAGCUUUAGGGCUAGCCUCAAGUGAUGAUUAUUGGAGGUAGAGCACUGUUUGGACGAGGGGCCCCUCUCGGGUUACCGAAUUCAGACAAACUCCGAAUGCCAAUUAAUUUAACUUGGGAGUCAGAACAUGGGUGAUAAGGUCCGUGUUCGAAAGGGAAACAGCCCAGACCACCAGCUAAGGUCCCAAAAUAUAUGUUAAGUGGAAAAGGAUGUGGCGUUGCCCAGACAACUAGGAUGUUGGCUUAGAAGCAGCCAUCAUUUAAAGAGUGCGUAAUAGCUCACUAGUCGAGUGACACUGCGCCGAAAAUGUACCGGGGCUAAACAUAUUACCGAAGCUGUGGAUUGUCCUUUGGACAAUGGUAGGAGAGCGUUCUAAGGGCGUUGAAGCAUGAUCGUAAGGACAUGUGGAGCGCUUAGAAGUGAGAAUGCCGGUGUGAGUAGCGAAAGACGGGUGAGAAUCCCGUCCACCGAUUGACUAAGGUUUCCAGAGGAAGGCUCGUCCGCUCUGGGUUAGUCGGGUCCUAAGCUGAGGCCGACAGGCGUAGGCGAUGGAUAACAGGUUGAUAUUCCUGUACCACCUAUAAUCGUUUUAAUCGAUGGGGGGACGCAGUAGGAUAGGCGAAGCGUGCGAUUGGAUUGCACGUCUAAGCAGUAAGGCUGAGUAUUAGGCAAAUCCGGUACUCGUUAAGGCUGAGCUGUGAUGGGGAGAAGACAUUGUGUCUUCGAGUCGUUGAUUUCACACUGCCGAGAAAAGCCUCUAGAUAGAAAAUAGGUGCCCGUACCGCAAACCGACACAGGUAGUCAAGAUGAGAAUUCUAAGGUGAGCGAGCGAACUCUCGUUAAGGAACUCGGCAAAAUGACCCCGUAACUUCGGGAGAAGGGGUGCUCUUUAGGGUUAACGCCCAGAAGAGCCGCAGUGAAUAGGCCCAAGCGACUGUUUAUCAAAAACACAGGUCUCUGCUAAACCGUAAGGUGAUGUAUAGGGGCUGACGCCUGCCCGGUGCUGGAAGGUUAAGAGGAGUGGUUAGCUUCUGCGAAGCUACGAAUCGAAGCCCCAGUAAACGGCGGCCGUAACUAUAACGGUCCUAAGGUAGCGAAAUUCCUUGUCGGGUAAGUUCCGACCCGCACGAAAGGCGUAACGAUUUGGGCACUGUCUCAACGAGAGACUCGGUGAAAUCAUAGUACCUGUGAAGAUGCAGGUUACCCGCGACAGGACGGAAAGACCCCGUGGAGCUUUACUGUAGCCUGAUAUUGAAAUUCGGCACAGCUUGUACAGGAUAGGUAGGAGCCUUUGAAACGUGAGCGCUAGCUUACGUGGAGGCGCUGGUGGGAUACUACCCUAGCUGUGUUGGCUUUCUAACCCGCACCACUUA
RNAcentral lists this ribosomal RNA (1938 nucleotides) under Staphylococcus aureus. RNAcentral's name for it is "partial 23S ribosomal RNA". It matches the Rfam family "Bacterial large subunit ribosomal RNA", at positions 296 to 2238 of the family's 2925-position model. The record is from RNAcentral. Lineage: Bacteria; Bacillati; Bacillota; Bacilli; Caryophanales; Staphylococcaceae.